GAUGAACGCUAGCGGCAGGCCUAACACAUGCAAGUCGAGGGAUAAGCCUUCGUUCUAAGACCGGCGCACGGGUACGUAACUCGUAAACAAUCUGCCUUUUAUCCGGGGGAUAGCCCGAAACAAGUGGGAUUAAUACCCUAUGGUAUAAGAGCACGCCAUCGUGCACUUAUUAAAUCUACGGCGUUAAAAGCUGAGUAUGCGUGCUAUUAGCUAGGUGGAGAGGUAACGGCUCCCCAAGGCGACGAUAGAUAGGGGUUCUGAGAGGGAUGUCCCCCACACUGGUACUGGGAUACGGACCAGACUCCUACGGGAGGCAGCAGUGAGGAAUAUUGGAACAUGGUCGGAAGACUGAUCCAGCCAUGCCGCGUGCAGGAUGACGGCCUUAUGGGUUGUAAACUGCUUUUGUAAGGGAAGAAUAAGGAGUACGUGUACUUUGAUGACGGUACCUUACGAAUAAGCAUCGGCUAACUCCGUG
RNAcentral lists this ribosomal RNA (475 nucleotides) under uncultured bacterium. RNAcentral's name for it is "partial 16S ribosomal RNA". It matches the Rfam family "Bacterial small subunit ribosomal RNA", at positions 28 to 507 of the family's 1533-position model. The record is from RNAcentral.